GACGCAGUCUGAUCAGCCACGUCGCGUGAAGGAGACGGCCCUAUGGGUUGUAAACUUCUUUUGUACGGGAAUAAAGUGCUGUACGUGUACUGUUUUGCAUGUACCUUACGAAUAAGGAUCGGCUAACUCCGUGCCAGCAGCCGCGGUAAUACGGAGGAUCCGAGCGUUAUCCGGAUUUAUUGGGUUUAAAGGGUGCGCAGGCGGGAGAUUAAGUCAGCGGUGAAAUUUUGCAGCUUAACUGUAAAAGUGCCAUCGAUACUGGUUUCCUUGAAUGUAGAUGAAGUAGGCGGAAUUUGUGGUGUAGCGGUGAAAUGCAUAGAUAUCACGAGGAACUCCGAUUGCGCAGGCAGCUUACUAAACUACUACUGACGCUCAGGCACGAAGGCGUGGGGAUCAAACAGGAUUAGAUACCCUGGUAGUCCACGCAGUAAACGAUGAUUACUCGCUGUUUGCGAUAUACAGUAAGCGGCUUAGCGAAAGCGUUAAGUAAUCCACCUGGGGAGUACGUUCGCAAGAAUGAAACUCAAA
This 528-nucleotide ribosomal RNA is filed under the name uncultured bacterium. RNAcentral describes it as "bacterial SSU rRNA". It matches the Rfam family "Bacterial small subunit ribosomal RNA", at positions 374 to 905 of the family's 1533-position model. The record is from RNAcentral.